This 473-nucleotide ribosomal RNA is filed under the name uncultured bacterium. RNAcentral's name for it is "bacterial SSU rRNA". It matches the Rfam family "Bacterial small subunit ribosomal RNA", at positions 355 to 825 of the family's 1533-position model. The record is from RNAcentral.
UGGGGAAUAUUGCGCAAUGGGCGAAAGCCUGACGCAGCAACGCCGCGUGAGUGAUGAAGGCCUUCGGGUCGUAAAGCUCUGUCGGAGGGAACGAAUGCUCCUGAAGUUAACAGCCUCAGGAGGUGACGGUACCCUCAAAGGAAGCACCGGCUAACUCUGUGCCAGCAGCCGCGGUAAUACAGAGGUUGCAAACGUUGUUCGGAAUCACUGGGCAUAAAGCGCACGUAGGCGGUCUGUUAAGUCAGGUGUGAAAGCCCCCGGCUCAACCGGGGAACAGCAUUUGAUACUGGCAGACUCGAGGAUGGUAGGGGUGAGUGGAACUCCAGGUGGAGCGGUGAAAUGCGUAGAUAUCUGGAGGAACACCGGUGGCGAAAGCGGCUCACUGGACCAUAACUGACGCUGAGGUGCGAAAGCUAGGGUAGCAAACGGGAUUAGAUACCCCCGUAGUCCCUGAGCGGGCUGGCAAGGCGCAU